CGAACGCUGGCGGCGUGCUUCACACAUGCAAGUCGAACGGCAAGGCCCUGCUUUUGUGGGGUGCUCGAGUGGCGAACGGGUGAGUAACACGUGAGUAACCUGCCCUUGACUUUGGGAUAACUUCAGGAAACUGGGGCUAAUACCGGAUAGGAGCUCCUGCUGCAUGGUGGGGGUUGGAAAGUUUCGGCGGUUGGGGAUGGACUCGCGGCUUAUCAGCUUGUUGGUGGGGUAGUGGCUUACCAAGGCUUUGACGGGUAGCCGGCCUGAGAGGGUGACCGGCCACAUUGGGACUGAGAUACGGCCCAGACUCCUACGGGAGGCAGCAGUGGGGAAUAUUGCACAAUGGGCGGAAGCCUGAUGCAGCAACGCCGCGUGCGGGAUGACGGCCUUCGGGUUGUAAACCGCUUUCGCCUGUGACGAAGCGUGAGUGACGGUAAUGGGUAAAGAAGCACCGGCUAACUACGUG
Molecule: ribosomal RNA, 466 nt
Filed under: uncultured bacterium
Lineage: Bacteria
Description: partial 16S ribosomal RNA
Rfam family: Bacterial small subunit ribosomal RNA
Source: RNAcentral